Molecule: ribosomal RNA, 253 nt
Filed under: uncultured bacterium
Lineage: Bacteria
Description: partial 16S ribosomal RNA
Rfam family: Bacterial small subunit ribosomal RNA
Source: RNAcentral
UACGGAGGGCGCAAGCGUUGUUCGGAAUCACUGGGCGUAAAGCGCGUGUAGGCGGCUUGGCAAGUCGGGGGUGAAAGCCCGGGGCCUAACCCCGGAACUGCAUUCGAAACUGCCUCGCUCGAGUCCCGGAGAGGAUGGUGGAAUUCCCGGUGUAGUGGUGAAAUACGUAGAUAUCGGGAGGAACACCAGCGGCGAAGGCGGCCAUCUGGACGGUGACUGACGCUGAGACGCGAACGCGUGGGGAGCAAACACG